Molecule: long non-coding RNA, 373 nt
Filed under: Bos taurus (domestic cattle)
Lineage: Eukaryota; Metazoa; Chordata; Mammalia; Artiodactyla; Bovidae
Description: long non-coding RNA NONBTAT023566
Source: RNAcentral
GUUUGAUCUCCUGAUUCUAUAUAUAGUAAAUUAGAGCACAGUUGUUGUAAAGUGCAUUAUCUCCUGUUUCUGCAUUUACAGAUGAGAGUUUAAUCAUUUGAAUUCAGAUAGGAUGAUAUUUAGAAGAUAUCCAUUGAAAUUAUAAUUAUAUAUUUGCUUAGUAUAUGGGAGUCACUGACAGAAUUAUGUUAUAUAAAUGAAACUGUAGUUGUUGCACAAAAUCCAUUUCAAAAAAAUGUAACUUGCAGUUGUUUGAGCUCCCAGGGUCUCAUUAGUUGAUUCUGAUAUGAUAAUAUACAGCCUUAGAUAACAUUGUCUUGAUCACUGUCAAGUAAGUCAAAGUACAGAAUUUUGGAGUGACUGCAUUUGAAAU